UACGGGAGGCAGCAGUGGGGAAUCUUGCGCAAUGGGCGAAAGCCUGACGCAGCCAUGCCGCGUGAAUGAUGAAGGUCUUAGGAUUGUAAAAUUCUUUCACCGGGGACGAUAAUGACGGUACCCGGAGAAGAAGCCCCGGCUAACUUCGUGCCAGCAGCCGCGGUAAUACGAAGGGGCUAGCGUUGCUCGGAAUUACUGGGCGUAAAGGGAGCGUAGGCGGACAUUUAAGUCAGGGGUGAAAUCCCGGGGCUCAACCUUGGAAUUGCCUUUUGAUACUGGGUGUCUUGAGUAUGAGAGAGGUGUGUGGAACUCCGAGUGUAGAGGUGAAAUUCGUAGAUAUUCGGAAGAACACCAGUGGCGAAGGCGACACACUGGCUCAUUACUGACGCUGAGGCUCGAAAGCGUGGGGAGCAAACAGGGAUUAGAUACCCGU
RNAcentral lists this ribosomal RNA (433 nucleotides) under uncultured bacterium. Its description in RNAcentral is "bacterial SSU rRNA". It matches the Rfam family "Bacterial small subunit ribosomal RNA", at positions 340 to 789 of the family's 1533-position model. The record is from RNAcentral.